AACGCUGGCGGCGUGCGUAACACAUGCAAGUCGAACGAGAAUGUACUGACAGAUCCUUAGGGUGAAGAUAGUACAGGACAGUGGCGGAUGGGUGAGUAACGCGUAAGAAACCUGCCUUUCACACCGGGAUAGCAGCUGGAAACGGCUAUUAAUACCGGAUGAUACUUUUUCCCCGCAUGAGGAAGAGGUUAAAGAAUUUCGGUGAAAGAUGGUCUUGCGUCUGAUUAGCUAGUUGGUGGGGUAACGGCCUACCAAGGCGACGAUCAGUAGCCGGCCUGAGAGGGUGUACGGCCACAUUGGGACUGAGACACGGCCCAAACUCCUACGGGAGGCACCAGUGGGGAAUUUUGCACAAUGGAGGAAACUCUGAUGCAGCGACGCCGCGUGAACGAAGAAGGUCUUCGGAUUGUAAAGUUCUGUCCUGGGUGAAGAUAAUGACGGUA
RNAcentral lists this ribosomal RNA (443 nucleotides) under uncultured Eubacteriales bacterium. RNAcentral describes it as "bacterial SSU rRNA". It matches the Rfam family "Bacterial small subunit ribosomal RNA", at positions 32 to 477 of the family's 1533-position model. Lineage: Bacteria; Bacillati; Bacillota; Clostridia; Eubacteriales. The record is from RNAcentral.